CACCGCGGUUAUACGAGGGGCCCAAGUUGAUGGACUACGGCGUAAAGCGUGGUUAGGGAAAAUCUUAAACUAAAGCCGAAGGCUCAUCAGGGCUGUUAUACGCACACGAGAGUAUGAAGAACAACAACGAAAGUGGCUUUACCCCUCCUGACCCCACGAAAGCUAAGAAA
Molecule: ribosomal RNA, 170 nt
Filed under: Polydactylus microstoma (small-mouthed threadfin)
Lineage: Eukaryota; Metazoa; Chordata; Actinopteri; Polynemidae
Description: partial 12S rRNA
Source: RNAcentral